RNAcentral lists this ribosomal RNA (165 nucleotides) under uncultured bacterium. Its description in RNAcentral is "partial 16S ribosomal RNA". It matches the Rfam family "Bacterial small subunit ribosomal RNA", at positions 355 to 511 of the family's 1533-position model. The record is from RNAcentral.
UAGGGAAUCUUCCACAAUGGGCGGAAAGCCUGAUGGAGCAACGCCGCGUGAGUGAAGAAGGGUUUCGGCUCGUAAAGCUCUGUUGUUAAAGAAGAACGUGGGUAAGAGUAACUGUUUACCCAGUGACGGUAUUUAACCAGAAAGCCACGGCUAACUACGUGCCGG